GAGUUUGAUCUUGGCUCAGAUUGAACGCUGGCGGCAUGCCUUACACAUGCAAGUCGAGCGGCAGCGCGGGGGCAACCCUGGCGGCGAGCGGCGAACGGGUGAGUAAUACAUCGGAACGUGUCCAGUAGCGGGGGAUAACCUCUCGAAAGAGAGGCUAAUACCGCAUACGACCUACGGGUGAAAGCGGGGGACCGCAAGGCCUCGCACUAUUGGAGCGGCCGAUGUCGGAUUAGCUAGUUGGCGGGGUAAAAGCCCACCAAGGCGACGAUCCGUAGCUGGUCUGAGAGGACGAUCAGCCACACUGGAACUGAGACACGGUCCAGACUCCUACGGGAGGCAGCAGUGGGGAAUUUUGGACAAUGGGGGCAACCCUGAUCCAGCCAUGCCGCGUGAGUGAAGAAGGCCUUCGGUUGUAAGA
RNAcentral lists this ribosomal RNA (418 nucleotides) under uncultured beta proteobacterium. Its description in RNAcentral is "bacterial SSU rRNA". It matches the Rfam family "Bacterial small subunit ribosomal RNA", at positions 9 to 430 of the family's 1533-position model. Lineage: Bacteria; Pseudomonadati; Pseudomonadota; Betaproteobacteria. The record is from RNAcentral.